UACAUUUGUCAGGGGAGAGUUUGACGGUACUGAAAUCACAAGUGUAGGAUUAGGAUACCGUAAACUAACAUAUAUCACAGUCAAAUCCAAGUUAUUGGUUAAAGUUCAGUUGAAUGCCGAGUGACGCUUUGAACAUAAUGGACACUCAUGUGAAAGCAGGACAAGUUUACCUUCAACACAGAAAUGUAGAAAAGAAGUGGAAGCAGCAUUGGCUGACUCUCUACCCCUCCAGCCGCUGCGGUGUAGCCAGGCUAGAGCGCCAGGAAGUGGGGGGAGGAGAGCGGGCCGGUCCCUCUGGGGUCUGGAAGCACCAGGACAAAGUUAAGGAGAAGAGGGUGAUCCGUCUGUCAGAGGUGAUCAGGGUCCUGAGGCUGCCCCCACACGCUGAGGCCUGCCCCAAAGACAACAUGGCCGCCUUCUGUGUGGAGACAGACGGCAGGAGGUUCGUCUUCGCAGCGGAUAAGGACGACUGUGUGGAGUGGGUGGAGAGGAUGUGUGACCUCGCCUUCCAGGGAGGCUCCACUGGUCAGCAGCCCCAAAUUCAGAUGGAGGACAACCAGAUCUACGUCUCCAGGGAGGAAGUUAGUGAGUUCAGGGUGGGUGUGAAGCAGACGGAUGUAGCGAUGCGCUGCGGCCUCCAGGGGGAGUACUAUUGGCUGCAAGUGGCCCAGGACGGGCUGGUCCUUAAGGAGGCGGAGACCAGGAAGAGUUUGCAGGACUGGCCCUAUCGGCUGAUACGACGCUAUGGCAGAGACAAGUUGACGUUCAACAUCGAGGCGGGCCGGCGCUGUGACUCUGGACCCGGAACCUUCACCUUUGAGACGUGCCAAGCUGACGUCAUCUUCAGCCUCAUCGAGACCGCCAUACGGGAACAGAAGGCCGUCGCCGGGGACGAAUGUGAGGGCGACACUGUGGUUGCUAACCGUAGCCCUAAUAUGCCUCGUGCUCGUUCACCACUGCCCAAACUACCAGAUAGCGCAGCCAUUUUGGAGGGCAGCUACAGUUUUAAGCCAGUAUUUUCAAAUGCUAUUGGCUCAGAGCAGUGUUUGUACUCACAGCCGCCUAAUUUGAUUGGCUCUGAGGAGUGUCCGUACUCUGAGCCAGCAGACAGUAUUAAACCCAAAGCCCCUAGCCUCAACUCCUAUCUGACGCCCCCAACAGCAUCCACCCUCACCCCCUCUAUCCCUCUACACCCCUGCAAUCACCAUGUCAACCGAACGGAACCAGUGUACGCCGACCCAGCAGACAUCCUCUCACUCACACCCCCGAAAUCUACACCACCACCACCCCCGCCCACUUCCUCUUCCUGCUCUUAUCACCACGACAACAAGCCAGAGCCGGUCUACUCCGAGGUGUACGACCGUGCGAGUCCCCUACCUGACAAGACUCAACAACAGAAACAGAGCCAGGACCAGCGGGGGCAGGAACCUGGCAAAGAGGAACCCAUCUAUAGUGCGCCUUGUGUGGGGACCCCAGCCAAGGGCCCCAACACUGACCCGUUCGCCCACCUUUACAGCCAGGUCUGCAAGCCAGGCUCUUCAUCACCAUCAUCAUCAUCAUCCCCCUCUUCCUCACUGGCCUCCUCUUCCUCCUCAUCAUCAUCGUCAUUGACCAUUACCAGGACCUUGGCCACCAGGAGGCCCACUGCUAGACGCCAGUCACCAGAGGUCAUCUAUGAAAACAUGGGGUUCAUUUAGGAUACUCUGCUGCGUCUGAAAUGGCACCCUAUUGCCCUUUAAGGUGCCCUACUUCUGAUCAGCGCCCAUAAGGAUAUAUUCAGACCAAUACACACAUUCACUCAUUUCACAAUGUUAUUGUCUACUUACUUUAUUUAUUGAACUUGUUUUCACAUACAGAAUCAUAGUUUUUUCUUAUGAUGUAAUAACUUUUGUAUAACGUGUUAUGAAUAUCAAUAUUGCCCACCAGUGUAAUGGACAUGGGAGAGGGAGAAAAGAGCCACAGAGAUCUUCCAGAAGUCUGUCAGUGGUCCAUGUAAAUGUUUUCAAACAGUGUUAGCCGCCUCCUCCCCAACAGAAACCAAUGACUUCCGCUCAGUCUCACAUCCUUUUCCUCAUGUACUUUGUUUUACUGAUGUGAUUCAAUAAAACAAUAAUGGGUGUGUAUCCAGUAACUCUCCUUCCACUCUUUGUUUUGUGCAUUGAUUGUUUUUUUUUGUGUUUUUUAAAUUGUGCCCCUCAAUAAAUCAGACUACUGUUCAGUUCAAUGCUGUUUAUAUAGGAAUAUGUGAACGUUAAUAGGCCUACUACUGUAUAUUUCAGGCUCCUCUGUGGUUGUGGGCGUGUAUUGACGUUUGGUUUAGAGAGAUUUGAACGCUUCCUGGUUUAACACAUUGUAAUAGUUCUAUUACAUACUGUACUGUACCUGACCUGGAGGCUAAGUAGCCUAUUAUACCGUGUUAGAAAUAGCACCAAAUCGGACACCGAAUAGGUAGGUGAGAAUAAAAAAAUACGCCGUAUUUUGAUACACUUCAACCGUACUUUUUUGUUUUGUUGGUUUCUGUAGGCGCUUCGUUCCCCCCUGUCCUCCACUUUUGACAGAACGCCCCGAGCGCACUUUUAAUGCUGCUUAACUGACGCGCGGUCAUCAACGGACAUUCUUCCUGAUGUCACUUCUCAACAUGCGGACCACCUGUUUUAUGGCCGUGAUCUUGUGGCUCACAACUGGUUCAACUCGUUGUCAAACACCAAUUCCAAAUGUUCACGGAGGGUUAGGUGCAGUUCUGGGGGUGUCCAACGCCAGCGUCCUCCUGCAAGACCCCAGCUCUGAGACACUCUACCUGGGAGCCAGAGGCUCCAUCCUGGCCCUGCACACCUCCAACCUCACCUGGAAACACUCAUCAAUUAAGUGGGAGGCAACAGAAGAGGAGAGGAAGUCCUGUAUGGGUAAAGUCAAGAGAGAGGAUGACUGUUAUAACUACAUCUGUCUGCUGGAGGUUCUGAAGGAUGGAAGGAUCUACGUCUGUGGCUCCUACGCCUACAAUCCCCAGUGUGCUUUCAUAGACCCAGUGACGUUUGUCCUAGUGAAGGAAGGUGGUGACAAAGUGAAGAUGGAGAAUGGGAAGGGGAAAUGUCCUUAUGAUCCCAGACAACCUCACACUGCUGUUACUGCAGGUAUUGGAGGAGUGGAGAGCCUAAUGGUGGUGCAGUGUAGAACUGUGUGGUGGUACCUUACUGGUCAUCAGGCCAAGGAGAAUGGUGGGACUAUCAGUGUUCAUUUCCACAGUUCUGGAUCUGUGAAAAAUGCUCUUUAUAGGUUGUUGAAGGAACUCUUUACUGUAUCUGAAGAAUGAUCAUAUAUGUUGGUAGAAUGGCUGUACAAACGAGAAGUUGGAGAGAAAGGCAUGUGCACACACACACACACACACACACACACACACACACACACACACACACACACACACACACACACACACACACAGGAUCAUGCACACACACAAAACAAAUUAGGAAUAUAUCACUCAAUAGCUGUUGUCAAUGUUAAAAUGUACAGUUCAUUAUGUCUCAUUUCUUGUAGACUGUACACAAAUCUCUCUCUCUCUAGCUCUUUUUAUUAGCAACAUGUCAUGUGACUUCCCAUGACAUUUUUUUCAUUAUCAAUUAUUAUAAAUAACUUUUAUAAUAAGAAGAACAAAGGCACAGAUUAAUAAAUAAAGGAACAAUGUCCUCUGAGUUCUAUCAGCUUCCUGAUUGAAUGUGAGUCACGGAGUGCGAGUCAUAAUGUCACUUCCUUAUGAACCAUGUCACAUAUAGUUAUUGCGAAAUAUGACGUCCUGAUUGAAAGUGAUUGGAUACUUAAAACAUUCUUUCAACUGCAGUCGACCACAGACAGACAACAGAGACACCAAUGGAGACGCAUAUCAGAGCAACUAAUCAACUACUAGUCACUGAAGUUAGAAUCAUACAGUAGAUAUUACCAUUAGGAGUCAGUUAGAAAGGUAAUCAUUAGUAAGAUAAUACUAUAAGUAAAAGUUAAAAUCAUAUAUACCACAAUAAAAGGUCAGACAGUCUGAAUUAGUUGAUUAAUUGAUUGAUUGGGGAAAUCAUUGAUAUUCGGUACGGUUAGUUAAGAUGGCCGACUACGUCAACAAACAGGUGAUUGAAUUAAAAGAAGUUAAUGAAGAAAACCGGAACGGAGCAACGAGGAGCGUGAAGACUGAGACUCAUCUCUCAGAUAGAAGACUAAGACUCUACAGGCUGGCUGCUGGGUGUUUAGGAGUGCUGUGUCUUCUACAAGUCACUCUCAACAUCUCCCUGAGACUGGCUUUCUAUAACAGAGGCAAUGUGACUGUAGAGAAAGACCUGCUACAGACCAGUUACAACACCCUGACUAAAGAGAGAGACCAGCUACAGAAGGAAAGAGAUGAUGUCAUGACAAAGUUCUCAAAUCUGAAACAAACCUGUCCUGAAGGCUGGCAGAUUAAGUUGGAAUCCAGUUGGUACUUCCUGUCUACUGAGACUAAAACCUGGAAGGAGAGCAGACAGGACUGUCUGAAGAGAGGAGCAGACCUGGUGAUCAUAAACAGUGAUUUGGAACAGGAGUUUCUCUUAAGCUUCAAUAAGAGAGCCUGGAUUGGUCUGACUGACUCUGUUACUGAGGGGGCCUGGAAAUGGGUGGACGGCACCCCACUGACCACCCCAAGUUACUGGUACUCACAGCAACCUGAUAAUGGUGGUGACAACCCAGAAAAUGGGGAGGAGGACUGUGUUGAACUGAACACAGAAACCUGGCGUCCUGUAAAGGCAUGGAAUGACCAGUCAUGUUUACACAAUCGUUACUGGAUUUGUGAGAAAGUGGUUUAACGUCACCAUUACAACAGAGGAGGCUGGUGGGAGGACGCGCACACAUACAGCACCUUACAGUGCACACAACUUCAUUCUCUCUCUCUAAGACACACACACACCAACCCACUGCUGGUACUGUACUGAGGGGCAAACAACCUGAUAAUGGUUGUGAACCAGGAUAUAUUGUAACAAGGACUGUGCUGAUGUUAAUAUUGGGUAUUCUGAGCCUGUAUAUAAAUAUUCUGACAUAUCAUUUACCUCUCAACAUAACUGGAUUUGUGAAGAGUUAUACAGUAGCUCAUUAUAUAGCAUUGCUACAGUGCUAAUGCAUCUCUCUCUAGGUAAACAGUGUGUAGACAUACUGUCAUCUGUAAAAUGCUUGUAUUCAUUGUUUAAAUAGAAACAUAUUAUGUGAUUUGCCAUAAUGUGAUUUUUUCAUAGUCAAUUAUUAGCAUAAACGACUUUAGUAAGAAGAUGAACUAAGGCUCAGAUUAAGUAAGAAAGGAACCUAUCAGGUGUCAAUUUACCAGCUUCCUGAUUGAAUGUGAUUUGAUUGUUAAAACAAUGUGACUUGCAGUUGGACACAGACAGAAGGCAGAACAGUACUGAGAGGAUACAUGCUGCACCUAGGCAGACACACACAGACAGAAGGCAGAACAGUACUGAGAGGAUACAUGCUGCACCUAGGCAGACACACACAGACAGAAGGCAGAACAGUACUGAGAGGAUACAUGCUGCACGCAGGCUGACACACACAGACAGAAGGCAGAACAGUACUGAGAGGAUACACGCUGUACGCAGGCAAACACACACAGACAGAAGGCAGAACAGUACUGAGAAGAUACAUGCUGCACGCAGACACACACACAGAGACACAGACACACUGAUGUCACACACAGACAGCAUAGAUAAAAGAAAAGGGCCCCUAUCGAUGGCAUAGAGAGAGAUAGAGUCACAAUGUAAACUCCAUUUGAAGGCUGGAGAAGCCACAAACAGAACAGUCAAAGUAAUAGGAUGAAAGGCUGCACUCUUCACUACUUGUUGUCAUGCAGCUAUCAUGUUAUAUCACUCUGUUUAGAAUAUCCUGUAAUGUAUAACUUCCUGAUUGAAGGUGAUUAUAUACUUUAAAAACUGUAGUGGACAACAGACAGAGAUCAGAGAGGUAACUGGUAGAGAUGCACAUCUGAGCAACUACUUAACUACUAGUCACUGAAGUUAGAAUCAUACAGUAGAUAUUAGCAUUAGGAGUCAGUUAGAAAGGUAAUCAUACAGUAGAUAUUACCAUUAGGAGUCAGUUAGAAAGGUAAUCAUACAGUAGAUAUUACCAUUAGGAGUCAGUUAGAAAGGUAAUCAUACAGUAGAUAUUACCAUUAGGAGUCAGUUAGAAAGGUAAUCAUAAGUAAGUUAAUACUAUAAGUAAAAGUUAAAAUCAUAUAUACUACAAUUACAGGUCAGACAGAAUUAAUUAGUUGAUUAAUUGAUUGUUUGGGGUCAUCAUUGAUAUCUGGUAUAGUUAGUUAAGAUGGCCGACUACAUCAACAAACAGGUGAUUGAAUUAAAAGAAGUUCAUGAAGAAAACCGGAACGGAGCAACGAGGAGCGUGAAGACUGAGACUCAUCUCUCAGGUACAAAGAAUAAUCUUUCUCUCUCUCACACACACACACACAGAUGCAGACAGGUAUGAACGCACAAACCGAACGCACACACGUAUUCUGGCACGUGCACACACACUAAUAGCACAUCAUAGAAAAGCGCUUGUUAAUUUUUUAUUGUUCUGUCUUCUCUGUGGUUCAGCUGGUACAGAGCCUGAGGUUUACAACCUGCUGGGGUCUCAUACACUAAAAUGCAUCAAUUCAAUAUUAUGUUUUACUUCAGUUGUUGGAACUAUGUACAACUAUUUAAUAAGAUCAAUUGAAAAUAAUAUUUUUAAACAACAACACAGUGGAUACCCCACCACUGUUUUUGGUAAACAGCUGAGGGGCUGGUAACCUGAAACAGGCUCUGUGCACCUGGUGACCUGCCCGCUUUUUCCGCUCAGAGAAAUGUUUUAAAAAAUGUAAGUUGCAGAAAUGUAACCACUCUCAAAUUCAUAGACAGAGCUGGUACUGUAUGUAAUUCAUAGACAGAACUACAAUAUAUAUGACUGGUACAGUAUGUAAUUCAUAGACAGAACUAUAUAUGUCUGGUACUGUAUGUAAUUCAUAGCUACUGUAUGUAUGUCUGGUACUGUAUGUAAUUCAUAGCUAUAGUAUGUACUCAAGGACUGUCCAUCCAUGAGAACAAAAUGAUUGUUUUACCCAUCUGAGGUUACACAGUGUUUGUUAACAGUUCUGUGGUAGAACAAGCUUAUAUUUUGGGUCCUGAUGGGGUUGGAAAGUUAAACUAAGCUCAUGAGGCAUUUAAAAGUUACAUUCAUGAAGAAUGAAUGGAUAAAUAUCAUACAUUUCAAAGUCCCAAAAAUGUAAGCAGCAAUUGCAGAUAUCCUCUUUAAGUCAUUGUCACGAAUCCCGCCGAAGAUGGUGCCUCUUCGUCGCCGGGCCUACUAGCUGCCACCGAUCCCCUUUUCUGUUUCAUUUAGUUGUGUCUGAUUUAGUUGUACCUGUUUGGUGUUGAGGUUUAGGUUUUGGGCUUUAAACCCGGUAGGCCCGCCGGCUUUUCUGCUUGUUUUUCUGUUUAUGGUGUGUGAAUAUUUUGUGGAUUUCAUUUUUCCGAACAGUUUCGUCCUUGUUUGUUGGACUGGGUUUUUAUGCGCCCUUGUGUGUGUGGCGUGACCGUCUCUCUGUUUUUUGGAAAUAAACAAUCCACAUCUUUGUACUA
This is an RNA transcript of Oncorhynchus kisutch (coho salmon), 7619 nucleotides long. It is a transcript of the gene named semaphorin-4E, with no coding region annotated. NCBI's taxonomy places the organism in Eukaryota, Metazoa, Chordata, Actinopteri, Salmoniformes, Salmonidae. The transcript has 16 exons. The record is from RefSeq and is a predicted model, not a curated record.